UGGCACACAGGCCAUCCUGUUGGAUCGUGUCGGUGUGUCUGUGUGUGCGUGUCGAGUAAAGAGUAAGAACAAAAUGCUGUACUUUGAUGGCGGCCUCCACCGCGUUGCGGACGUCCUUCCUGCCUCCGUCCGGGCAGUAGGCCAGCACGCUGGCGCCAUCUGGUGUCUGCACCGCAACACUGCCUCCAGACUCGGACUUGCACGACUUGCCCGCGACAAGCUGCCGGUAGAACUUGGGGGCACUAAGGAUACUCUCCCAGCCUGAUCGAGAGGCCGCAGUGAGAGAGGAAUGGCCCAUGUUCCCCCGGCCCCCGCUUUCAGUGAUCAAAAUGAAAGUGAAUGCAGAGGUACUUCCAUCGCGUGCCUCGGAAGAAAUAGAACGAUCAACCGUUUAAGAGGCGUGCUUAUGGGCCUUCCAGAAGCACUGAAGCCACUUCGAAUAGAAUAUAAUCUCAAAACCACUCAGGAGCUGCCCUGGAUGCAUCAUUACAAACAUUACCGAUCCUUCACUUCACUAGUCAAAAGAAGAGGGGGUUUCAUUGUGCAGUCAAUGAACUGCGGUACUUUCCUCAGGACGGGAAUAGCCCCUCAAGAAAUCAAUGUCACGUGCUUAUCGUUUUUACAUAAAACCAUACGGUCUGCUGCCAGACUGCUGCACCAGUAGAACCAUCCACAGGCGAUGCCCUGCUCAACAGCUCUGAAACGUAUGGAGAAGCUGGACCAAGAGGCAUAGAGACACAGCAACAAAGAAACAUUGUUGUACACAUAUGUAUGAAAAAAAAAAAUUACACUAUGUGAAAACUGUUCACAUUGUGGCAUCCCGCCACGUAAACCGCGGCCUGGACGGGCCCGAGGGACCGUGAAGGACGGGGUAUACCACCCCCACCCACCAGCCGGCGACGGAGAGCAUCCCUUUCGCCUCCCCAAUCAGGGUGAUUGGUGGACACCUGGCCGGUGGCAGGGGAGCCAUCUUAAAAGGAGGUCCAGGACAGCACAGCACGGGAGCAAGGAGGAAGUGCUCGUGUCCGGGAGAGGCUAGA
Long non-coding RNA from Gadus morhua (Atlantic cod), 1040 nucleotides. RefSeq lists it as uncharacterized. NCBI's taxonomy places the organism in Eukaryota, Metazoa, Chordata, Actinopteri, Gadiformes, Gadidae. The record is from RefSeq and is a predicted model, not a curated record. The transcript is spliced from 3 exons.